UUUUUUAUUUCAAACAGUGCUACCCACUCUCAGCGCCACACCUCGAUGUCGUCAAGGCGAGGGGGAGAAUCAGGCGGCGGCGAUUCUCCUCGCCGGCGGGAGGAGGCCAAGAGCACGACUCCUCGGCUGUAGCCAGGCUCAGCCGGUGGGCGCAGUGCGGCGCCCUCCGCUGAGAUGUCAUCGAGGGGAUGGGGCGAAUCUGGCGGCGGCGAUCCGCCUCGGCUGCAGGGGGAUUCCAGCUCGCGUAGCAAGGCUAAAAGCCGGACAACAUCGCUGCAGCCAGGCUCAGUCAGCGAGCAUGUUGCGGCGUCCUCCGCCGCCGCCGUGGAGACAGGCUUGGAGUUCGGCAAGGUUGACGGCGAGGCGCACGCACCCGCUCCCCUGCACUUGGCAAGGCACCAACAGUUGUUCUGUGUUCAUCAAGCAAUGAUGCGCUGAAUCGCAGGGCAGUUGCUGGUGGUCUUGAUUUGGAUCCAAAAAGGUCAGGCGUCGAGAUCCAAAAAAGCAAGCAAAUAAUCAAUCUGCAAUGGGGGGUAGGGGGGUCAAUGAUGUGUUCAGCUAUAACUUUGCUAUUCACAUAUAUACUACUUCUGUGAGCUACAAGUUUUGUUAUCUACUAGUUUUUUUCAUUUUCGUUAAAUGCACUUAGUUUUGUCUACCUCUAACAAUGUUUAGUUUUGUCCGCUCCUGAUAAUACCAUUUUUUUGACCAAAUCAGUUAGACAGUCUUGAAAACUAGCUAUGUAUGUAUGUACUAAAAUGAGUAGUUUUGUAAGCAAACUUCAAUCAUGUAGAGUAAAUUUCAGUGUAAAAGCUUGUGUUAUCUGAAAUACUAGGUGUCAAGGCCUCCAUGGGUGCAUUUUUAAGAUUAUCCUUGUUGAUCAUAGAUGAUGUUUUCAUUUUCUGGACAUCAUUAGCGCAUCAAUUCCAUUUUUUUCUCCUUUUCUGGUUUAUGGGCAUGGCAUCAAUUGGCUCUGUUCUUAUGCCCUAUUAUGAUAAAAAAUUAAGAUGUUGUGCACCAAUAUAUCUAUUUGUUUGACUCUCCUUCUUCUCCUCCAUCUUCGGCGUGAUCUCCAUGCUUUUAAUGACACAUAGUUUUGUUAGUUUUGACUUCUGCUAAUUUUUGAAAUCACAAGUUGUGCUCUCUGUAGAACUGUACUCUGCUAGUGAUGUGUAAACUGAGUUCUUGCAAUUUUUUGAUAGGGAACGGGUGAAAUUGAGUUGCCAAUUUUUGGACUGAAGAAGUAGUCUCAUUUUGUGGACAAUUUUUUUGCUGAGAGCCCAUGUUUGCAGAAUGAAGGGGUCCUACCAGAGCAAUGGCUCCUAGGGCGCCUAAUGAUGUGUUGUGAUGCAGGUUUAGUGAUUCUGUUUAGUGCAAAGUUCAGUAAAUUUUUCAGACAUGGAUGUGAUGGCAAAGUUCAAGUGGUUUUGUUUAGUGCAAAGUUUAGUAAAUAUUUCAGCAAAUAUCAUCUCCCAAAAAAUGUUCAAUUAAGUAAUUAA
This is a non-coding RNA of Oryza sativa Japonica Group (Japanese rice), 1499 nucleotides long. The record is from RefSeq and is a predicted model, not a curated record. NCBI's taxonomy places the organism in Eukaryota, Viridiplantae, Streptophyta, Magnoliopsida, Poales, Poaceae.